RNAcentral lists this unclassified non-coding RNA (348 nucleotides) under soil metagenome. Its description in RNAcentral is "partial contains 5.8S ribosomal RNA, internal transcribed spacer 2, and large subunit ribosomal RNA". The stretch from base 1 to 120 matches the Rfam family "5.8S ribosomal RNA", at positions 35 to 154 of the family's 154-position model. The record is from RNAcentral.
GAUGAAGAACGUAGCGAAAUGCGAUAAGUAAUGUGAAUUGCAGAAUUCAGUGAAUCAUCGAAUCUUUGAACGCACAUUGCGCCCGCCAGUAUUCUGGCGGGCAUGCCUGUCUGAGCGUCAUUUCAACCCUCUUGCCCCUAGGGCGUGGUGUUGGGGAUCGGCCAAAGCCCGCGAGGGACGGCCGGCCCCUAAAUCUAGUGGCGGACCCGUCGUGGCCUCCUCUGCGAAGUAGUGAUAUUCCGCAUCGGAGAGCGAUGAGCCCCUGCCGUUAAACCCCCAACUUUCCAAGGUUGACCUCAGAUCAGGUAGGAAUACCCGCUGAACUUAAGCAUAUCAAUAAGCGGAGGA